Molecule: RNA transcript, 1187 nt
Organism: Toxorhynchites rutilus septentrionalis
Lineage: Eukaryota; Metazoa; Arthropoda; Insecta; Diptera; Culicidae
Exons: 2
Source: RefSeq, a predicted model, not a curated record
UUGUGCAAAAAUUUGUUAUCGCAUUCGUGGGGAAGCUUUACCCAAAUUAAAAAGAAGCAGUGUUUUCUGUGCAAAUCGGUAGAAUAUCUAUUUGCCGAAACCAAGAAAGUGAACUCAUCUGUUCAUUUUCUGCUCGCUACACAAAUUUGACUGCUUGCUAUACAAAUUCGAUUUGUUGGCAAAUGACACCAGCGUAAAGUCGAAUGGUGAUUCCCUCGUGAGCAUUUGAAUUGCGCUUGAUUGCUAAUUCAGCAUAUUUUUUGUGCUGUUCAGCUUGGAGAGACUGAGCUGUAUCCAUUUCGAAUUGAUAAUUAUGUCGAGCAAUGAGGUUACACCAAAAGAAUCACUAAUCAAGUAUGGCGCCGGUUCUAAGUAAUUGGUUGAAUUUUAUGAGUUCAACAUUUUUGGUAAGAUUGAGUUUCAUGUUAAGGACUGGUCCUUAGUCGGUAAGAUAAUUUGUUAUGAAUGGCUUAUACUUGUUAGAUGUGCAAAAUACGUAUAGUAUAAAAUAUCAAUUAGUUAUUCCUUAUGCACAUGAAUUCAGAUAUCAGCUCCAAGGGUGAAGAGAAACAAUCAAAUAUUGCAUUAUUUAAUUUUAACCAUUAUUCUACCUUCCGUACGUAUAGUCGAAAGACGUCGUCGUUUCAAUAUUAAUGAUAAAAUCAAGGAGUUGGGUACACUGUUACCCAGGAAUAUCGAGGGUUCCAGCAGCGAUAUCAGCGGGAAGGAUGGACGUGUCAAUAAGGGAACCAUUCUGAAGAGCACAGUCGAUUAUGUCAAGGAACUGAAACAAGAGGUUAGCGCACUGCGAAGGAACGGUGACCUGUUGGUUGCGAUCAAGAACGAGAAUAUUAUUCUGCAACACAAACUGGUGGUAAUUUGGUUUGCUCCUCUUAACUGUUUAUAUUUCAUUGAUACAUAUAUACCAAUUAUAUUACCUCAGAAGAUAUUUACGUAAUUAUAUGUCACAAAAUUGUUCUUACAUGUUCAUAUACACUUGUUUUUAACAUUAUACAGAAUAAAUAAAGAGUUACUUUUCAGCAUAGAAAACGGUGAGUAGCGAGUCCAAUUCGACUGGAACGGUAUGAUAUAAAUUGUUAAUUUUUUUUCUAUAAUAUUUCUGUGUCAAUAGGUGUUGUUUGGGAGGAAUUCUUGAUGACGAAUUGAUGCUGAUGAUUUGUUGAUAG